Molecule: unclassified non-coding RNA, 434 nt
Filed under: soil metagenome
Description: partial contains 5.8S ribosomal RNA, internal transcribed spacer 2, and large subunit ribosomal RNA
Rfam family: 5.8S ribosomal RNA (bases 1-120)
Source: RNAcentral
GAUGAAGAACGUAGCGAAAUGCGAUACGUAAUGUGAAUUGCAGAAUUCAGUGAAUCAUCGAAUCUUUGAACGCAUAUUGCGCUCUUUGGUAUUCCGAAGAGCAUGCUCGUUUGAGUAUCAGUAAACACCUCAAAGCUUUUGGAUUUUUUAAUCGAAAAGCUUUGGACUUGAGCAAUCCCAACACCAAUCUUUUUGAGAUCGGUGGCGGGUUGCUUGAAAUGCAGGUGCAGCUGGACAUUCUCCUGAGCUAAAAGCAUAUUCAUUUAGUCCCGUCAAACGGAUUAUUACUUUUGCUGCAGCUAACAUAAAGGGAGUUUGACCGUAUUGGCUGACUGAUGCAGGAUUUCACAAGGGUCGGCAACGAUUCUUGUUAAACUCGAUCUCAAAUCAAGUAAGACUACCCGCUGAACUUAAGCAUAUCAAUAAGCGGAGGA